Molecule: long non-coding RNA, 206 nt
Organism: Rhinichthys klamathensis goyatoka
Lineage: Eukaryota; Metazoa; Chordata; Actinopteri; Cypriniformes; Leuciscidae
Exons: 2
Source: RefSeq, a predicted model, not a curated record
GAGAUUUUAAUACAGCCGAGGGUCCAUCUACCUCCACACAGAAUCUUAGCAGUUUGCCUGCCAAAGAGCUGUAUAAGGUCCACCUUCAAAAGCAAAUAAGAAAAGGUGACAGGAGAUGGACCUUAUACAGCUUCAAAUGGAGGAGAAAAGGCUUAACCUAAAAAAGGCCAGACUUGAAAUUGAAUUGCUGGAGCACCAGCUUAAGG